Molecule: unclassified non-coding RNA, 279 nt
Filed under: Glomeraceae sp.
Lineage: Eukaryota; Fungi; Glomeromycota; Glomeromycetes; Glomerales; Glomeraceae
Description: partial contains 5.8S ribosomal RNA and internal transcribed spacer 2
Rfam family: 5.8S ribosomal RNA (bases 1-65)
Source: RNAcentral
GUGAAUCAUCGAAUUUUUGAACGCAAAUUGUACUCUCCUCUGAGAGUAUGCCUGUUUGAGGGUCAGCCUAAAAAAAAAUCGACAUCGUUGCUUUUUCUUGGUGACGUUAGUUGGAAUUUGGGUCUUCUUAAACCUUUUGGUUUUUAAGUGACUUAAAUUUUGCUUUUGACCCCUUGAAGGUUUCUAAGUUUUUUAUCUUAACACGUUUAAUGGUAUCUAUUUUAUUAGACGUUGCCGUCAUAUCGGAUCGCGUCCAUAAUCUUCCAUUAACUGUCCUCA